RNAcentral lists this transfer RNA (16 nucleotides) under Tetrastes bonasia vicinitas. Its description in RNAcentral is "partial tRNA-Glu". The record is from RNAcentral. Lineage: Eukaryota; Metazoa; Chordata; Aves; Galliformes; Phasianidae.
UCUCAACUACAGGAAC